RNAcentral lists this ribosomal RNA (156 nucleotides) under Chlorella pulchelloides. RNAcentral describes it as "5.8S ribosomal RNA". It matches the Rfam family "5.8S ribosomal RNA". From Rfam's summary of the family: 5.8S ribosomal RNA (5.8S rRNA) is a component of the large subunit of the eukaryotic ribosome. It is transcribed by RNA polymerase I as part of the 45S precursor that also contains 18S and 28S rRNA. Lineage: Eukaryota; Viridiplantae; Chlorophyta; Trebouxiophyceae; Chlorellales; Chlorellaceae. The record is from RNAcentral.
CAACUCUCAACAACGGAUAUCUUGGCUCCCGUAUCGAUGAAGAACGCAGCGAAAUGCGAUACGUAGUGUGAAUUGCAGAAUUCCGUGAACCAUCGAAUCUUUGAACGCAAAUUGCGCCCGAGGCCUCGGCCGAGGGCAUGUCUGCCUCAGCGUCGG